AUGAGCAAAGGCCCGGUUCCGUUCCCUAGCUUUGGGAAGAAAGCAAAAGAUCUCUUGUACAAGGACUACAAUUUUGACCAAAAGUUUUCAUGGUCAACAACUAGCGAAUCUGGUUUGGGUAUCACAGCCUCUGGUGUGAAGUUCGAUGAACUCUUCAUUGGUGACAUACGGGUACAACAUAAAAGUGGUAGAAAUACUGUUGAUGUCACAAUCGAUUGCGAUUCCAAAGUGUCAACCGCGGUCACUUUUGAUGAAGUAGUCCCUGGUUUGAAGACUUCUUUCGGCUUCAAGGUUCCUGAUCAAAAGUCAGGGAAGCUCGAUUUGCAAUACCUUCAUGAUCGCUUCACACUGAAUUCAACCAUUGGCUUGACUUCGGCACCUGUGAUCGAGCUGGCAACAACUAUUGGCACAAACGAACUUGCUGUCGGUGCCGAGGUUGGAUUUGACAGCACUUCAGCUUCUGUUACCAAGUACAACUCAGGGGUCAGCUAUACCAAGGAUGAUUUUUCUGCCGCCUUACAAAUGGCUGACAAAGGCGAGACACUGAAAGCUUCCUACAUCCACCUGUUCAGCCCGACCAGCGCAGUGGCGGCCGAGGUAACGCACAGGUUGAAAACAAAGGAGAACUACUUCACCAUCGGGAGCUCCCACGCGCUCGACCCGUCCACGACGCUCAAGACGAGGUUCAGCAACAGCGGGAAGGCCGGGCUCCUCUGCCGGCACGAGUGGAGGCCCAAGUCGUACGUGACGCUCUCGGCCGAGUACGACCCCAAGGUGGUGAGCUCGCCGUCAAGGUUCGGCGUGGCCGUGGCCCUCAGCCCCUGA
RNAcentral lists this ribosomal RNA (825 nucleotides) under Triticum aestivum (bread wheat). Its description in RNAcentral is "partial small subunit ribosomal RNA". The record is from RNAcentral. Lineage: Eukaryota; Viridiplantae; Streptophyta; Magnoliopsida; Poales; Poaceae.